CAGCAGCCGCGGGAAUACGAAGGGGGCUAGCGUUGCUCGGAAUGACUGGGCGUAAAGGGCGCGUAGGCGGCGCAUACAGUCAGAUGUGAAAUUCCUGGGCUUAACCUGGGGGCUGCAUUUGAUACGUAUGAGCUAGAGUGGGGAAGAGGGUUGUGGAAUUCCCAGUGUAGAGGUGAAAUUCGUAGAUAUUGGGAAGAACACCGGUGGCGAAGGCGGCAACCUGGUCCUUGACUGACGCUGAGGCGCGAAAGCGUGGGGAGCAAACAGGAUUAGAUACCCCGGUAGUCCCUGUCUCUUAUAC
This 301-nucleotide ribosomal RNA is filed under the name uncultured bacterium. Its description in RNAcentral is "partial 16S ribosomal RNA". It matches the Rfam family "Bacterial small subunit ribosomal RNA", at positions 509 to 807 of the family's 1533-position model. The record is from RNAcentral.